This is a long non-coding RNA of Hemicordylus capensis (graceful crag lizard), 1514 nucleotides long. RefSeq lists it as uncharacterized. The transcript has 3 exons. Lineage: Eukaryota; Metazoa; Chordata; Lepidosauria; Squamata; Cordylidae. The record is from RefSeq and is a predicted model, not a curated record.
GUUCAUCUUGCAACGAUUUCAGAGGCAGAGCUCCUGAGGCAUUGAUCUGGAAGAAAUUUACAUCUGGAAAUGGAGAGCUUGGAGGAUUGAAACUCUGCUUACACACAGCAGUGGAGUACCCCUUAUGCGGACUGCUUGGGACCAGCAGUGUUCUGGAUUUCAGACUUUUCCGGAUUUCAGACUUUUCCGGAUUUCAGACUUUUCCGGAUUUCGGAGUCUACAGCACUUUGGAGUCUACAGCACUUUGGAGUCUACAGCACUUUGGAGUCUACAGCACUUUGGAGUCUACAGCACUUUGGAGUCUACAGCACUUUGGAGUCUACAGCACUUUGGAGUCUACAGCACUUUGGAGUCUACAGCACUGGGUACUGGUGGAAUUCUCGUGAGAGCACAAGAAUGUUCCAGCGACAAGCAAUAAUGGCAGCAAGGAGGAGGUGGACGGCUGAAGAGAAGACAGACUGCGGCAGUUCUUCAGGAAAAUCUUAAAGAUAUAGUCAAAUCAGAGAAGACACAGAGGGGAACAUAUAAAGGUCAUUCACACAGCUGUGCAAAGCUUGGUAGGAGUCAGAGAGGCUCACGUGGACUCUGGAGGACUCGCUCCUACCCAGCAAUGCCAGAGCAGGACCACCCCAUCCUUUGACCUUGGUUUUAACCAAGAUGAAAGGUGAACAGGCCCUUCCUACCUCGACAUCCCGGACGGAUUGGGUGCAUGAUCUGGGCUCUUUGCAGCAGUUUGUAGCUGGCUCUCGACCACAGAGCGUUGCUUAUAGAGCAGCCAGGAAGCAGGGAGCUGCUGCAUUGACACGGACAGCCUCUCCAUUGCCCACACAACAUGGGAUGCCAGAGGACUUCCUCCUCCAGAUUCCUUCUGCAGAGAUCUCUGCCGCGCCAAUUGUGUGUGUGCAGCAUAGCACUGGAGAGACUUUACUUGUAUGGUGAAAGGUCACCUUAAGUGGGGCAGUGGGGAAAUGCUUGACUAACAAGCAGAAGGUUGCCAGUUCAUACCCCCACUGGUAUGUUUCCCAGACGAUGGGAAACACCCAUAUCAGGCAGCAGCAAUAUCGGAAGAUGCUGAAAGCCAUCAUCUCAUACUGCGCACGAGGAGACAAUUGUAAACCCCUCCUGUAUUCUACCAAAAGACAAAUACAGGGCUCUGUGGUCACCAGGAGCUUCUGCACCCCAAGCUUCUAUCCUCAAGCAAGUCCGACUCUGCUCAGACCUUCUAAUUCCCAUGCCCUUAUACCAGUGGCUCCCAACCAGAGUUCCUCUGGAUGUUGCUGAACCGAUUGAAUGAUUAAGUGUUGUCAAGUCAGUGUCGACUCUUAGAGACCACAUAGAUUCUCUCCAGGAUGAUCUGUCUUCAACUUGACCUUUAAGGUCUCUCAGUGGUGCAUUCAUUGCUGUCAUAAUCAAGUCCAUCCACCUUGCUGCUGGCCGUCCUGUUCUUCUCUUUCCUUCCACUUUUUCCAGCAUUAUAGACUUCUCAAGGGAGCUGGGUCUUCACAUAUUGAGUC